This 4277-nucleotide unclassified non-coding RNA is filed under the name Hevea brasiliensis (rubber tree). The record is from RNAcentral. Lineage: Eukaryota; Viridiplantae; Streptophyta; Magnoliopsida; Malpighiales; Euphorbiaceae.
GCUUGUCAAGUAUAUGUCAAAUUUGCCUCGUUAUCUCCAGCGUGUGGACAAAAAAGAAAACAUCCAGGAUAAGGCUUUAAAUGUUGGUGUUUUGGAUUGGUCUCGUUUAGAGAAUUGGAAAUGCAACAAAAAGAGCACCCCAAUGAGAGUAGGCAACAAGGCAUCUUUGAUUAGCAGUAAUUUGUCAACUAGAAUGACUAAUAGGUCAUCUACCUUUUAUGGUCAAGCUCAUAAUGAGACUCCUGCAUAUCAAAGCAAGCAGUGUCCUUCACUUUCUUCCAGAAAUAGUUCUUCUUUAAAUGAUGGCAUUUCUCGAGAUGCCAAAUCAUCUGUCCGGGAUGCUAUGCUCUUUCAGGAUGUGGCGAAUGCUUCCAAGAGCCACUUUGAUGGACAGAAGAGGGUAUUUUGCAGCUAUAAGUCUCUUGAUGGAAAUAGUUCAGAUACAACUUUUGAGAAGGGGAGAAGAAAAGAGUUGCACAAUAAAAUCACUUCAAAAGUUCAAAAUCGGUCAUCCAACUCCAGAAACAAUGGGAUGCCAAUUGGGCCCAAAGAAAGUUUGAAUACUUGUGAUAGAGAAGCCAAGCAGAGACUAGAGGAGAUGCAAGAAGUUUAUAUAAAGAGAAAAGCUUUGGAACAGAAGAUCACUCCAAGCAUGGGAGCUUCAUCAUCAAAGAUGAAAAAUGAUAACAUUUCACCCACUGCAAAGGGAAAGAAGAAUGAAAAUAAUGGUAGAAUGAAGAAGAGAAUGGAGCUGCAACAAUCAACUAUUGAUCUUCCUUGGCAACAUCAAGCCGAUGAGAAGAAAAACAUUGUUCUCCUUUUUCCCAAAAAAUUUGUCCACAAUAGCUUCCAAGAGCAACCAACAUCAUCAUUGAAUGAGACUGUAACAGGAGCAAAUCAAAAUACCUUGUCAUAUGGCUUUUCUGACGAGUUUUACUCUUCAGAACUUAAUUAUGAAAUUCCUCACUCAUGUCCACUGUCUCCUAGAGUUGAGAUUAACAUUGAACAACAGGAGAUGGCACCUGAUGCAAUCAAUACUCAGGAUGCAGAGCUGUCAUCCGAUGCAAUCAACACUAUUAAGUCUUCAAAUGAAAUUCUAGUUGAAACAUCAAAGAUAUUCAACCAAGAUACAGAAGAAGUGGCAGCUAGAAAAGGCAGACAUCCUUCACCAAAUCGCCGAUUUAGCUUCAGCUUAGGUCAGAUGACCAGAAGUUUUAGCUUCAAGGAGAGUUCAGCUGUUCCACGGUUGACUUCCACACAUGUUUCGGUGAAGUCUGGUCCAGUGUUAUCCAAAGCUUCUGCUGGUUUGGAUGAUUCAAACAGAGAGAAAGCAAGUUGUCAUAGAUCCAAAUCCAGCCCUUUAAGAAGAUUAUUGCAUCCAUUGCUAAAGUCCAAGGGUUUAACUCCAAAUCCUUCUGCUCAAACUGAUCAACUAUUCAGAGGAAGCCUGAAUUCCUACAGCUUUAAGCCAAUUAACACUACUGAAUCACAUCAAAACAAAGAGCGUGAGGCAUCAAGCAUAAAAGCUCAUCUGUUGCUUACUAUGAGGAAUGGACUUCCUUUGUUCAGAUUUGUGAUCAAUAACAACAGUAUUAUUGUUGCAGCCCCUGUGAAAAAUUUAAUGUCACCUGGGAAUAAUGAUCAAGGCUGCAACUAUGUGUUGUAUACCAUUGAAGAGAUUAAGAAAAAAAGUGGCAGCUGGAUAAGUCAAGGUAGUAAAGAGAGAAGUUGUGGCUUUGUCUAUAAUGUGGUUGGCCAGAUGACGGUUAACAGCUCUUCUUCCUUGGAUUCGGCUGAACAGAACUCCAAUGCCCAGUAUAUGGUAAAAGAGUCCGUGUUGUUUGGUGUUGAGAGGAGACAGACAGGCCAGGUAUCACCAAAGUUAAUGCCAAACGCAGAGCUUGCUGCCAUUGUUGUCAAGAUGCCUAGUGGAAACAUAGGCUUUGACUUUGACAAGCAGCAGACUGAUAAAGAAAAAAAUAUCAUGGAAAAGGGAUUCUCAUGGCACCUGCCAGAGAAUGAACACUCUAAUAGUUGCACAGUCAUAAUUCCUGGCGGUGUCCAUAGUUUGCCAAACACAGGAGUUCCUUCACCAUUGAUUCACCGAUGGAGAUCUGGUGGAUCAUGCGACUGUGGAGGUUGGGAUGUUGGUUGUGAACUCCGUAUCCUAUCCACUGAAAUCCAACACAAGAAGCUUCCAAGGACAUCCAAUGCUUGCCUGAGAUCAAAUCGAUUUGAACUUUUUGUUCAGGGAGAAGCACAAGAUACUCCCAUCUUCAGCAUGACACCAGUUGAGAAGGGGAAGUACUCAGUUGAGUUCAGUCCAUCAAUUUCUUUGUUACAGGCGUUCUUCAUUUGUGUCACAAAUAUAAGCUGCCAGAAAUCAUCUGAUCUCGCUGAACAGAGUAACGUGUCCAAAGAAAAAGUUCAUCAGGAAUCCAGAAAUGCAAAUGGACUGAAGAAGAUUCGCACCACUGUCCUGGGGGAAGCACCUGUGAAAUACACUCCAAGUCCACCUGUUUCACCUGUUGGAAGGAUCUAGCUUUAGGCCUGGAGGAGCUCUUAAACAGGGAUCCUGAUGUAGCAGAAGUCAUGUUUGGCUGUCAUAAUUUUGUAUCAAUUAUGUUACAUUACCAAAAUCCCUCCCUUGUAUAAUGAAAAUAAUGCAACCAAUUAUACCCCUCCCAAAGAGAGUGCAGUUUUAAGAAGGUAAAAAUUUUCGGUUCAAAGGUUUUCUCAUCAAGAAAUUCUCGUGCAACAUAAAAGACUUGGAGCAGUUUAGUCAGGGCUAUAGUGCGACAUAACUCUUAAAAAGUAAAAAACCACCACUGAUUAUAUAAGUUCCCAGCAGAGUCUAACAGAGACUUAAAUUGAUAAUUUAACUCAUUGAGAUGAAAUAAAAUAGAUUUUUCUAAACAAACAAGAUUUUGUCACCGUAGCCCUGACUUGCCUGCUUCAAACGCACACCCAACGAUAACACUGACAGCCCACAGAUUGCAUGCAGAUAGUUCUGUCUUCUGAUUCGAUAGAUGAUUUAAAGAAUAGUUCUGUCUUCUGAUUGAUUAUAUGAUGUAAAAGAAUCUAAAACUACUAAAACAAAUUGCAGCAACCAAAAAAAAAUCAGCUUCUGCGUGCCUUACAUGUACUGAGAGUUUCUUACAAGUCGACAGGUGAAGCAUGGUGAAUACAGAUGUACCAUUGACCAUCAAUUCUCUCAAAAACGUUUGUUACAAACUGUGCCCCCCAGCUGCUGCCUUUUGUCCUAACAAAUUCCACACAAGUUACAUAACCGACAUCACCCUUAAAAUGAACUCGAGCAUUCUUCAACUGAAUCUCCAGUGGGAAAUCAUAGUUCAUCCACACAAGUUCCCAGCUUUCCAUAACAUCAUCAUAACCAGUAACCCCACUGGCUCCUGGGUGUACACAACAAACGUUAUCUCCUUUUGCCCAGAGGGACUGCAUGGAAGCCAAGUCCCCAUUCCUGAAUGCAUUAUAAAAACGAGCAUUUGCUGCCAGUACUGAAGCCUUACUAUCCUCCUGGAGUAUUCUAAGGCUAUCCCUGAGUUUUGCAGCUUGGGCAUAAUUCUCUUCUUCAAUGGCAAUCUGUAGAUCCCGCAUUAAGGCUUGCUCAUCCCAUAUGAUGCUUUCACCACUUAUAAUUUCCUCCGAGUCUUCGCUUGUUACUUGACAUGCUCUUAGUGACAACAACCGGGAUGUUUUUCUAAAAAGUGCUGCUUUGUUGUAAAUACAGAGUUAGAUAAGCUAAAGGGGAUUCCUUUAAACAAUAGCAAUGCAGAUAGCUGUAAGUAUAAAAAUUGAACCAUGGAUAACAGAUUCAAACCACAAAACGUACGAGUUCUUCCUUCAAUGUGCAGCUUGAGAGGAAAAUAAUGCGUUGCAGAAGUAGCAGGCAAGAACAAGUGAUUGUCCUUGUGAUGGGGAAGCCUCUUGAAACGAUUAAUGCAAGAACAUGGCAGCCGCCUAUCAAUAAAAUUUACCUACAACAAAAUUGCAAGCUAAAACAAAGUGCAUAUAAAUUCAAGAAAACAAAAACUAUAACAUUUGGUGAAUUACUCAACAACAGCUUAUUAGAAAAUGGAUGACCAAAUCCCUAAAGCAGCAUUUUCUUAAUCCUUUCAGCGCAUUAAAAAUUCACAACGAAUCUUAAUUUGAACAUCCCUGUUCCUAUUCAGCCUGUUUGGAAACUAGAAACUCCCAAGAAUGCAAUUCAAUUGAUUUCUCUCUUUUUUUUUUAAUCAUUUACAAGAAAAGAAUUC